RNAcentral lists this long non-coding RNA (220 nucleotides) under Lathyrus oleraceus (garden pea). RNAcentral's name for it is "Pisum sativum (pea) long non-coding RNA (PSAT_LNC026830)". Lineage: Eukaryota; Viridiplantae; Streptophyta; Magnoliopsida; Fabales; Fabaceae. The record is from RNAcentral.
AAAAUAUUAAAAAUCAGAAAUAGAAACUAGAAAUUAUUUGGGAAAUAAUGCAAUUGGUCCCCUAAUUUUUGGAUUAAAAAUGAAAGAGAUAUUGAUUUUUGAAAUAAAAAGGAAUUUAAGAAAAUAAAAAAAGAAAUUAGAAAUUGGAAAAAAACGAGAGCCCUUGGAUCUGAGCUCAUUAAUUGAGCUGGCAAAUCCAAGGAUCCAGAGGCGCGCGCUC